RNAcentral lists this ribosomal RNA (429 nucleotides) under Bacillota bacterium. RNAcentral describes it as "Firmicutes bacterium partial 16S ribosomal RNA". It matches the Rfam family "Bacterial small subunit ribosomal RNA", at positions 355 to 776 of the family's 1533-position model. Lineage: Bacteria; Bacillati; Bacillota. The record is from RNAcentral.
UGGGGAAUUUUGGACAAUGGGGGCAACCCUGAUCCAGCAAUGCCGCGUGUGUGAAGAAGGCCUUCGGGUUGUAAAGCACUUUUGUCCGGGAAGAAAUCGCACCUGAUAAUACCGGGUGUGGAUGACGGUACCGGAAGAAUAAGGACCGGCUAACUACGUGCCAGCAGCCGCGGUAAUACGUAGGGUCCAAGCGUUAAUCGGAAUUACUGGGCGUAAAGCGUGCGCAGGCGGUUGUGCAAGACCGAUGUGAAAUCCCCGGGCUUAACCUGGGAAUUGCAUUGGUGACUGCACGGCUAGAGUGUGUCAGAGGGGGGUAGAAUUCCACGUGUAGCAGUGAAAUGCGUAGAGAUGUGGAGGAAUACCGAUGGCGAAGGCAGCCCCCUGGGAUAACACUGACGCUAAUGCACGAAAGCGUGGGGAGCAAACAGG